GACGGGGGGGGCAAGCGUUGUUCGGAAUUACUGGGCGUAAAGGGCUCGUGGGCGGCCAACUAAGUCAGACGUGAAAUCCCUCGGCUUAACCGGGGAACUGCAUCUGAUACUGGAUGGCUUGAGUUCGGGAGAGGGAUGCGGAAUUCCAGGUGUAGCGGUGAAAUGCGUAGAUAUCGGAAGGAACACCAGUGGCGAAGGCGGCUACCUGGCCUAAUACUGACACUGAGGCACGAAAGCGUGGGGAGCAAACAGG
RNAcentral lists this ribosomal RNA (253 nucleotides) under uncultured bacterium. RNAcentral's name for it is "partial 16S ribosomal RNA". It matches the Rfam family "Bacterial small subunit ribosomal RNA", at positions 524 to 776 of the family's 1533-position model. The record is from RNAcentral.